This 475-nucleotide ribosomal RNA is filed under the name uncultured bacterium. Its description in RNAcentral is "partial 16S ribosomal RNA". It matches the Rfam family "Bacterial small subunit ribosomal RNA", at positions 28 to 507 of the family's 1533-position model. The record is from RNAcentral.
GAUGAACGCUGGCGGCGUGCUUAACACAUGCAAGUCGAACGAUGAACCUCACUUGUGGGGGGAUUAGUGGCGAACGGGUGAGUAACACGUGAGUAACCUGCCCUUGACUCUGGGAUAAGCCUGGGAAACCGGGUCUAAUACUGGAUACGACCUUCUGGCGCAUGCCAUGUUGGUGGAAAGCUUUUGUGGUUUUGGAUGGACUCGCGGCCUAUCAGCGUGUUGGUGGGGUAAUGGCCUACCAAGGCGACGACGGGUAGCCGGCCUGAGAGGGUGACCGGCCACACUGGGACUGAGACACGGACCAGACUCCUACGGGAGGCAGCAGUGGGGAAUAUUGCAAAAUGGGCGCAAGCCUGAUGCAGCGACGCCGCGUGAGGGAUGAAGGCCUUCGGGUUGUAAACCUCUUUCAGUAGGGAAGAAGCCGGCUUUUGGGUUGGUGACGGUACCUGCAGAAGAAGCGCCGGCUAACUACGUG